UCUUCCCUCCAAACCUAAACCUAAUCGCGCCGUCCACCGUCGCGACGCCACCACCACUUUUCUCCUCGCCUCAUCUCCCUCUUCCCCUUCCUAGAUCUACGAAAGAUGACAUCUUUUUCGUGGACGGAGGAGGAUGUGCUACGGUGCUGCGGUAGCAAGCGUUUCGCCAAGGAGCUCGCCUCCACCUCUCCGUUUUCCGCCUCCUUCUGUUGUCGAAUGCUUUGCUGCUUUUCUUAAAAAUGCGAUUUUGAUCGCCUCCAACCAAGUCGUUUAGGAGCUUUUCUGUGCUGUUGAUCGUCAAAGUUCGCAUCUUGAAGAUGGGCGCGUGUUCUUCGGUCGAUAGAGAUGCCGAUCCCUGCAUCAGAUACCGCCUGGCAGUGAGCUACAAGGGGAGAAGGAUCUCCGUUUCAUGGCCGGCAAAGGAGAAGCCUUUGGAUGGGGAAAAGCCAGUCGGCGGAUAUGGUCCGGAGGUCCCGGCUCAUGCUGAUUUGAACAGGUAUUGUGAAUUUGGAGUUUCUCGAGUAGAAUUAACGAUGAUGAAAUAUGCUCUUAUCAUACACUUGAACAAGAAUCAUCUCUCAGGUUCUAUUGCCACCUGUCGCUCGCUCGCUCUCCUGGCGAGAUCUCUCCAGCCUCCUUUCUCUUCUCCGAUAUCCAGCUAUGGAUCUGGUGGCCCCAAUCGCCGUGCUCCUCGUCGUCGCGACGGUGACCUUGGGGACGGAGGCCUCGAUCCACGCCUAUGACCUCGAGCCCUUCAGGGAGGUAGGGAACGCGCUCCUCCUCUCCGGCGGCAGCGAGGGCAUCGUCGCGUCCCGCCUCGACGCCCUUGGUCCCCUACGGAUCGGAGAUGGUCGGGCUUACAUCAAAUAAUAAAGACUUCUCAGAAUGUGAGACCAUCUCUCCCUCAAUUAUGUUAUCAACUCUUUCAGCAAUGGAUUCUUGAGCUGCAAGCAAGCACGCAUGACUUAUUAAAUAUUGAGAGCCAGGGGAAAUCAUCAGAUUUAGAUAAUCAGUUCAGGAACUCUAACUGCUCCCUGGGAUGACUUGCAGAUUGGUAACCUUGGAAAGGAUGUGAAGGUGGAUUAUUGAAACCUACAUCAAAUGCAUCAGCUUCAUCAGCAAUGUUUCUAGGUUCCAAACCCCACGACAGUAGUGGUCAUCUUCAUUUAGGAAGUGUUAAAUUCUCUUUUUCAGAAACGACAUGCAUACUUACUGCAUGGAUAUGACUCAAAAAGGAAACAUCAUGCUGCUGCAUGGUUGAACGAGGUUCAUGAAUGUGGGAGCUGAUAUGCUCAUCCUCCAUUUUUUUAUAUGAGAAACUAUCAGCUACUAAAUUCUUAAAAGUGAAGCUAGAUAGAAGAUAUAGCUAGAUUGAAUUUUUAUCUUCUUUGAAUUUUUAUAUAUGACUUGCGUGUCUAGCAAGGCUAGAUAGAAGAUAUAGAUAGAAUGAGUUGGUAGGGACAUACUACAUAGCCAAUAAAUUCUUAAAGAAUUGAAUUUAUCAGAGUGUGAUGUGAGGAUGGUGUAAGGAGUAAAUUCUUGUGUCGGAGGGUUUUGUUUACUCGAUUUUAGCCUCUCUCUUUUUCCCGAUAGUCUGGGAUGUGUUACUCUCUGAAGCAAAAUUACUAGGAAACUGUGUAUCUGCAUUUUUUACUUCUCUUGGAAAUUUGUUUCUUUGCCUUGGAUCUACACUAUUCGAAUUGUAUAAGGGCAUGUUUCAUCCUUGCCUAGUGCCGUCAGAAUUUAAUUUCCCAUGACUCAUCAUUCAAGUUUAUUUUGUAUCUUGUAUAACUUAGUUAAUUUUGUUAAUCCAGUGGAUGGUGGCUGACUUUUACGGUGGAAAAAUCUUACUAAAGUUUAAUCUUUGUUCGUGCAGACCUAGUGGUUGCUAGUGCUGGUGACGAUAAAAAGAUAUCACUUUGGAAUAAAAAUGGCCAAAGUAUGGGAUCCUUUCCUUCUCACGGCAGCGACCUUGCUGAUGACAUUGAGGUAGCUCAUUGUUUGCUCAUUAAUUUGUUCUAUUGUGAUCAAUACAUCUGGUUUUCUGGAAAUUUACAGAUGUCCGGAUGCCAUUCAAAUCAUUGCCUGCAUUUUUUCCCCCUCUAUCUCUCUGGUUUACAUCUUGUCUUUAGUUCAACCACUGUUAAUGAUUAUUCUAGAGUGACCUGCGUGUCUCUGGUUUACAUCUUGGCUCCUCUUGCUUAUGUGCUCGAAAGGUUCAAGGAGCAUGUCUCAUUAGAAUUGUUGAGAAUAAGAUAUAUGACUACAAAUUGAAUAUUUUUAAACUCAUCUCAUGGUUGUAGGAAUCGAAGACCCAGCUUCUCAUUUGGUGUCAUGCUAAAAAUAUUCAUUCUUGCUAUGUUGGGUAUAACAAUUCAGCAAAAUGUAUACUACGUUGGACUCCAUCUCAUUUCUCCAACUGUUGCCAGUGCCUUGGGCAAUGUCAUUCCUGCUUUUACUUUCUUAUUGGCAAUUGUACUGAGGAUGGAAAAGCUCAACUUGAAGACUGUAAGGCCAUCUUCUGCAUCACUGGUUCCCUGAUCUUCACAUUUUGGAAAGGUCAUUUUGUUGGGGGCCUUUGUUACUUCACCUAUGAUCCAACUUCAUUUCGAAAGUCCUGAGAAAGGCGAUGGCUAGCUUAAAGGCUCUGCUCUUAUGCUAUUCGGCUAUUUUGCAUGCAGUGUAUCACUUGUUCUUCAGGUAUUGCGUCAAUGGUGUCCCUUGUGUUGUCACAUGUAUCGCUUUUGAUGUAAAAAGAAUGUUUGAGUAUUUUAUGGAUAUUGUUGUAAGAAGAUUAUUUAUAUAAUUUGUGAAUAUUUGUGUA
This is an RNA transcript of Zingiber officinale, 2824 nucleotides long. RefSeq lists it as uncharacterized. The record is from RefSeq and is a predicted model, not a curated record. The transcript has 7 exons. NCBI's taxonomy places the organism in Eukaryota, Viridiplantae, Streptophyta, Magnoliopsida, Zingiberales, Zingiberaceae.